Molecule: ribosomal RNA, 253 nt
Filed under: uncultured bacterium
Lineage: Bacteria
Description: partial 16S ribosomal RNA
Rfam family: Bacterial small subunit ribosomal RNA
Source: RNAcentral
UACGAGAGGCCCAAACGUUAUUCGGAAUUACUGGGCUUAAAGAGUUCGUAGGCGGCCUGACAAGUAGGGUGUGAAAGCCCUCGGCUCAACCGAGGAAUUGCGCUCUAAACUGUCGUGCUUGAGGAACCUAGAGGUGAGCAGAACAGAUGGUGGAGCGGUGAAAUGCGUAGAGAUCCGGAAGAACACCGGUGGCGAAGGCGGCCUGCUGGGCAGUUGCUGACACUGAGGCGCGACAGCGUGGGGAGCAAACAGG